RNAcentral lists this ribosomal RNA (464 nucleotides) under Caenota plicata. RNAcentral's name for it is "partial 16S ribosomal RNA". It matches the Rfam family "Archaeal large subunit ribosomal RNA", at positions 1944 to 2670 of the family's 2987-position model. Lineage: Eukaryota; Metazoa; Arthropoda; Insecta; Trichoptera; Calocidae. The record is from RNAcentral.
GUCUGGCCUGCCCACUGAAAAUUUUUGAAGGGCCGCAGUAUUAAUUGUGCUAAGGUAGCAUAGUAAUUAGUCUUUUAAUUGGGGACUAGAAUGAAUGGUUAGACGAAGUAUAUAUUGUUUUUUAUUUAUAGUAUAGAAUUUAUUCUUUUAAUUAAAAAAUUAAAAUGAAUUAGAAAGACGAGAAGACCCUAUAGAUCUUUAUAUAAAAUUAUAAUUAAUUUUAUAUUUUAUUGGGGUGAUUAAAAAAUUUAUUUAACUUUUUAAAAAAUUUUACAUUAAUUUUUGAUUUAUUUAUUAUGAUCUAUUAUUAUAAAUUAAGAUUUAAGAUACCUUAGGGAUAACAGCGUAAUUUUAAUUUUAAGUUCUUAUUAAAAUUAAAGAUUGCGACCUCGAUGUUGGAUUAAAAUUAAUUUUAAAUGUAGCCGUUUAAUAAUUAGGUCUGUUCGACCUUUAAAUUUUUACGU